CUAAAAUGAUGUUUCCAGUUCUGCUUCUGCAAUCUCGCUGAAGACAAUUCAAUAAAUACCAAAACUGCUGAUUA
Molecule: non-coding RNA, 74 nt
Organism: Macrostomum lignano
Lineage: Eukaryota; Metazoa; Platyhelminthes; Macrostomidae
Source: Rfam